Molecule: ribosomal RNA, 253 nt
Filed under: uncultured bacterium
Lineage: Bacteria
Description: partial 16S ribosomal RNA
Rfam family: Bacterial small subunit ribosomal RNA
Source: RNAcentral
UACGUAGGGUGCAAGCGUUGUCCGGAAUUAUUGGGCGUAAAGAGCGUGUAGGCGGCCCGACAAGUCCGCUGUGAAAGUCCAGGGCUCAACCCUGGAAUGCCGGUGGAUACUGUCGGGCUAGAGUGAUGUAGGGGAGACUGGAAUUCCUGGUGUAGCGGUGAAAUGCGCAGAUAUCAGGAGGAACACCGAUGGCGAAGGCAGGUCUCUGGGCAUUAACUGACGCUGAGGAGCGAAAGCAUGGGGAGCGAACAGG